RNAcentral lists this transfer RNA (83 nucleotides) under Canis lupus familiaris (dog). It matches the Rfam family "tRNA". From Rfam's summary of the family: Transfer RNA (tRNA) molecules are approximately 80 nucleotides in length. Their secondary structure includes four short double-helical elements and three loops (D, anti-codon, and T loops). RNAcentral also lists the same sequence under 1 other name. Lineage: Eukaryota; Metazoa; Chordata; Mammalia; Carnivora; Canidae. The record is from Rfam by way of RNAcentral.
GCCUGGGUAGCUCUGUGGUUGAGCACCUGCCUUUGGAGCAGGUCAUGAUCCCAAGGUCCUGAGAUCGAGUCCCACAUCAGGCU